AAGCGACGAGACAAUUUUUCCCGAGCCGUGCUAUCUUGACUAAAUGUUUUAUGUUGGAUUUGAGUAGGCAUAUCUCUGCUUUCCAUCCAUGGUGUGGAUAAAUCAAGGGCUUUCUGCAAUGAACUAUCUUUGAAUGUUUUGGAAUCCGAUGAUUCUUUUUUGGAUAAUCUAUAGCAAUUCUCAAGGUGCUGCUUACAAGGCCACAUUUCAAGAUGGGGGGAAUUGCUUUGGUGAAGGAAGUUAAUGCUUUUUUCUGGAGAUGAAAAUGCUUUUAAUAGGGAGCUGGAAGUAUUAGUGAGCUUGCAUCACUGUCAUUUACUCACACUUCGAGGUUUUUCCUCUGGACGCAAAAGGUUUGAUGUCUGGACUUCAUUACUUUUUUUCAUGUGGCUUUUUCAUGGCCUCCCCUUUUCUUGAAGAACAUGUUUGGAUAAAAUGCAGAAAUGGCUUACAAUAAGAAGUUACUUCGAGGACUGAAGAAGAGCAAAGUAUAUGGUAACUAUU
This is a long non-coding RNA of Tripterygium wilfordii, 504 nucleotides long. RefSeq lists it as uncharacterized. The transcript is spliced from 3 exons. Lineage: Eukaryota; Viridiplantae; Streptophyta; Magnoliopsida; Celastrales; Celastraceae. The record is from RefSeq and is a predicted model, not a curated record.